GAUGAACGCUGGCGGCGUGCCUAAUACAUGCAAGUCGAGCGAACAGAUAAGGAGCUUGCCCCUUUGAUGUUAGCGGCGGACGGGUGAGUAACACGUGGGUAACCUACCUAAAAGACUGGAAUAACUCCGGGAAACCGGGGCUAAUGCCGGAUAACAUUUAGAACCGCAUGGUUCUAAAGUGAAAGAUGGUUUUGCUAUCACUUAUAGAUGGACCCGCGCCGUAUUAGCUAGUUGGUAAGGUAAUGGCUUACCAAGGCAACGAUACGUAGCCGACCUGGGAGGGUGAUCGGCCACACGGGAACUGAGACACGGUCCAGACUCCUACGGGAGGCAGCAGUAGGGAAUCUUCCGCAAUGGGCGAAAGCCUGACGGAGCAACGCCGCGUGAGUGAUGAAGGGUUUCGGCUCGUAAAACUCUGUUAUUAGGGAAGAACAAACGUGUAAGUAACUGUGCACGUCUUGACGGUACCUAAUCAGAAAGCCACGGCUAACUACGUGCCAGCCGCCGCCGUAA
Molecule: ribosomal RNA, 513 nt
Filed under: uncultured bacterium
Lineage: Bacteria
Description: partial 16S ribosomal RNA
Rfam family: Bacterial small subunit ribosomal RNA
Source: RNAcentral